UUGCCCAGAAGCGAUAUCCUAGGAUUCAUCAUUCCUUCCCAUAUAGCUCGGUUUCCACUCCUGGAUCCUCCUCUUCUGAUUAUUAUAAGGAUUACACAACUACUUUGUUAUUCAACCCAUCGAAAAAACCUGCCAAUGCCUCUUCUACUUGGUAGCUAAGCUUCCCAGCAUAGUUGCAUCUCUUAAAUCUCCCCUUCUGCAGGUUUGAGCCCCUGUGUUGGGGGCACAGCUGAAAAGUCAGAAGAGAUGCUGAUGGCACUCCAAAGGCUGCAAAAUACUUGUACUUGAUAGUACUGCACAAAGGACAAAAAACGUGAAGGGAAAUGGAAACAUUAAACCUGAGAACAGGAAAAUUCACAAGAAUCUCGGCCUGAAAUAAAAAGGAGACAAAGAUGUGAUUUCCAAAACAAUACCCAGAGAUCAAAAAGAGGCUGAGGCGCGUUCAAACACGGUGGCUGAUCUGCAGGGAAAGGUUAAAGAACAUUGUUUUCAAAGGUGACAAACAGUGCCAGGGUUAUAUACGUGAGUAACCAGUAUUCCAGAAAAUGGAGGAGAAAGAAAAAGGACACAAGUAAAACCAGACCUUUGGCAUAAAAAGCCUGAAGUUGGUUCUUGUCCCUCCUGCUUGAUGCAGAAGGGUGAAGUGAUCUGAUAUAAAAAAGGAAGCUUCCUGUAUGCAGAGCCCAGGUUGUUUAUUCUUGUGAAUGAUGCAAUGGGUUAACGGAUAAUAUGUGGGUUAUCAGCAAGGAAAUCUGAAGAAAUACCUGAUGCUUUAUGUGGGCAGCAAUCAAGAUUAUCUUUGAG
Long non-coding RNA from Oenanthe melanoleuca, 804 nucleotides. RefSeq lists it as uncharacterized. Lineage: Eukaryota; Metazoa; Chordata; Aves; Passeriformes; Muscicapidae. The transcript is spliced from 4 exons. The record is from RefSeq and is a predicted model, not a curated record.